RNAcentral lists this ribosomal RNA (468 nucleotides) under uncultured bacterium. RNAcentral describes it as "partial 16S ribosomal RNA". It matches the Rfam family "Bacterial small subunit ribosomal RNA", at positions 28 to 507 of the family's 1533-position model. The record is from RNAcentral.
GACGAACGCUGGCGGCGUGCUUAACACAUGCAAGUCGAACGGAAAGGCCCUGCUUUUGUGGGGUGCUCGAGUGGCGAACGGGUGAGUAACACGUGAGUAACCUGCCCUUGACUUUGGGAUAACUUCAGGAAACUGGGGCUAAUACCGGAUAGGAGCUCCUGCUGCAUGGUGGGGGUUGGAAAGUUUCGGCGGUUGGGGAUGGACUCGCGGCUUAUCAGCUUGUUGGUGGGGUAGUGGCUUACCAAGGCUUUGACGGGUAGCCGGCCUGAGAGGGUGACCGGCCACAUUGGGGCUGAGAUACGGCCCAGACUCCUACGGGGGGCAGCAGUGGGGAAUUUUGCACCAUGGGCGGAAGCCUGAUGCAGCAACGCCGCGUGCGGGAUGACGGCCUUCGGGUUGUAAACCGCUUUCGCCUGUGACGAAGCGUGAGUGACGGUAAUGGGUAAAGAAGCACCGGCUAACUACGUG